GGCCGUGUGGCGUAAUGGCAACGCGUCUGACUACGAGGAGUUAAUCAGGAGAUUGCAGGUUCGACCCCUGUCUCGGUCA
Molecule: transfer RNA, 79 nt
Filed under: Armillaria luteobubalina
Lineage: Eukaryota; Fungi; Basidiomycota; Agaricomycetes; Agaricales; Physalacriaceae
Rfam family: tRNA
About the family: Transfer RNA (tRNA) molecules are approximately 80 nucleotides in length.
Source: Rfam by way of RNAcentral